Molecule: ribosomal RNA, 405 nt
Filed under: uncultured bacterium
Lineage: Bacteria
Description: partial 16S ribosomal RNA
Rfam family: Bacterial small subunit ribosomal RNA
Source: RNAcentral
GAUGAACGCUGGCGGCGUGCCUAAUACAUGCAAGUCGAGCGCAGCGGGGACGGGUGAGUAACACGUGGAUAACCUCCUAUAAGACUGGGAUAACUUAGGGAAACCGGAGCUAAACCGGAUACUUAUAGAUGGCUCCGCGCUGCAUUAGCUAGUUGGUAAGGUAACGGCUUACCAAGGCAACGAUGCAUAGCCGACCUGAGAGGGUGAUCAGCCACACUGGAACUGAGACACGGUCCAGACUCCUACGGGAGGCAGCAGUGGGGAAUCUUGCGCAAUGGGCGCAAGCCUGAUGCAGCCAUGCCGCGUGUAUGAAGAAGGCCUUCGGGUUGUAAAGUACUUUCAGCGGGGAGGCGUUACCCGCAGAAGAAGCACCGGCUAACUCCGUGCCAGCCGCCGCGGUAAUUC